RNAcentral lists this unclassified non-coding RNA (253 nucleotides) under uncultured Sphingomonadaceae bacterium. RNAcentral describes it as "contains 16S-23S intergenic spacer region". It matches the Rfam family "Bacterial small subunit ribosomal RNA", at positions 524 to 776 of the family's 1533-position model. The record is from RNAcentral. Lineage: Bacteria; Pseudomonadati; Pseudomonadota; Alphaproteobacteria; Sphingomonadales; Sphingomonadaceae.
UACGGAGGGAGCUAGCGUUGUUCGGAAUUACUGGGCGUAAAGCGCACGUAGGCGGCUAUUCAAGUCAGGGGUGAAAUCCCGGGGCUCAACCCUGGAACUGCCUUUGAAACUGGAUGGCUAGAAUCUUGGAGAGGCGAGUGGAAUUCCGAGUGUAGAGGUGAAAUUCGUAGAUAUUCGGAAGAACACCAGUGGCGAAGGCGGCUUACUGGACCAUUCUUGACGCUGAGGUGCGAAAGCGUGGGGAGCAAACAGG